Molecule: ribosomal RNA, 439 nt
Filed under: uncultured bacterium
Lineage: Bacteria
Description: partial 16S ribosomal RNA
Rfam family: Bacterial small subunit ribosomal RNA
Source: RNAcentral
CUACGGGACGCAGCAGUGGGGAAUAUUGGACAAUGGGGGCAACCCUGAUCCAGCCAUGCCGCGUGAAUGAUGAAGGCCUUCGGGUUGUAAAGUUCUUUUGGUGGGGACGAUGAUGACGGUACCCACAGAAUAAGCUCCGGCUAACUUCGUGCCAGCAGCCGCGGUAAUACGAAGGGAGCUAGCGUUGUUCGGAAUUACUGGGCGUAAAGGGCGCGUAGGCGGUUCGACAAGUCAGGUGUGAAAGCCCCGGGCUCAACCCGGGAACUGCGCUUGAGACUGUCGAUCUUGGAUUCGGUAGAGGUGAGUGGAAUUCCCAGUGUAGAGGUGAAAUUCGUAGAGAUUGGGAAGAACACCAGUGGCGAAGGCGGCUCACUGGACCGACAUUGACGCUGAGGCGCGAAAGCGUGGGGAGCAAACAGGAUUAGAUACCCCCGUAGUC